RNAcentral lists this ribosomal RNA (620 nucleotides) under Bacillus licheniformis. RNAcentral's name for it is "bacterial SSU rRNA". It matches the Rfam family "Bacterial small subunit ribosomal RNA", at positions 79 to 682 of the family's 1533-position model. Lineage: Bacteria; Bacillati; Bacillota; Bacilli; Caryophanales; Bacillaceae. RNAcentral also lists the same sequence under 1 other name. The record is from RNAcentral.
CUUGCUCCCUUAGGUCAGCGGCGGACGGGUGAGUAACACGUGGGUAACCUGCCUGUAAGACUGGGAUAACUCCGGGAAACCGGGGCUAAUACCGGAUGCUUGAUUGAACCGCAUGGUUCAAUCAUAAAAGGUGGCUUUUAGCUACCACUUACAGAUGGACCCGCGGCGCAUUAGCUAGUUGGUGAGGUAACGGCUCACCAAGGCGACGAUGCGUAGCCGACCUGAGAGGGUGAUCGGCCACACUGGGACUGAGACACGGCCCAGACUCCUACGGGAGGCAGCAGUAGGGAAUCUUCCGCAAUGGACGAAAGUCUGACGGAGCAACGCCGCGUGAGUGAUGAAGGUUUUCGGAUCGUAAAACUCUGUUGUUAGGGAAGAACAAGUACCGUUCGAAUAGGGCGGUACCUUGACGGUACCUAACCAGAAAGCCACGGCUAACUACGUGCCAGCAGCCGCGGUAAUACGUAGGUGGCAAGCGUUGUCCGGAAUUAUUGGGCGUAAAGCGCGCGCAGGCGGUUUCUUAAGUCUGAUGUGAAAGCCCCCGGCUCAACCGGGGAGGGUCAUUGGAAACUGGGGAACUUGAGUGCAGAAGAGGAGAGUGGAAUUCCACGUGUAGCGGU